UUGGGCGGGUGAGUGGUGUUUGGAAUGUGGGAUAGUAGGGUCUGUGCUCUUUGCNUCGAACUACUAGACUACAUCCCUUUUCAUGGCUCAAGCUUUGCUUGUUGCUCGAUAGUGUUCCUGUAUUUGAUACCCAUGUUGGUGGAACUACACUUUUGGUUAUCUCAAUCCUCUUGGUGCCUCGUUGGGGCAUCGGGUGGAGCACUUAGUUUUGGUCUGCCAAACCGAGCAUGCCGUUGCGGUUGCGACGGUUGUUGGAUCAAAGCUGUGCUCUCGGAUGCAGAAUAUUCAGUGGGUCCAAGGAUUGUAUCCUUGUAUUCGCCCUAUGCGGGAAAUCGUCCCUUGAUAUGAACGACAUCCUUUGUGUGCCACGAUUUAUCCAAAGCUCACUCGGGUAGAGGAUAUUUUGUGCGUGCAUCGGUGUCUUCGAAGGAAUGCUACCUGGUUGAUCCUGCCAGUAGUCAUAUGCUUGUCUCAAAGAUUAAGCCAUGCAUGUGA
This 495-nucleotide unclassified non-coding RNA is filed under the name Niedenzuella sericea. RNAcentral describes it as "partial contains external transcribed spacer and 18S ribosomal RNA". The stretch from base 436 to 495 matches the Rfam family "Eukaryotic small subunit ribosomal RNA", at positions 1 to 60 of the family's 1831-position model. Lineage: Eukaryota; Viridiplantae; Streptophyta; Magnoliopsida; Malpighiales; Malpighiaceae. The record is from RNAcentral.